AAUAGUCAAUAAUAAUAAUAAUUAUAAUAAUAAAUAAUUUGUAAUUUGAUAACAUAAUAAUUUAUGACGAUUAUUAUGAUGAAAUUAAUAGAUUAUAUUGAUUAAAUGUUUCAAUUUGUAUAGCUAGCCUUAUCCUUUACGACUUACUGCUUAAUUGUGUAUUUAAAUAUUUCAAUCAAAACUGAAACUUAAUAUUUCUAUCCCGUUUCACCGCCUUGUAAACUAUAAUUGAAUAAUACAUUGUUAUUAUACUUCAAACGGUAGGCUCUACUCCGCAGACAUCGCCAUGACUGUAAUGCACGAGUCCAUUGACGAUCCACAGUUGGUGGCGGCUGCCAAUGUGUUUGUAGAUGACAUAAUUGAGACCGCCAAAGUCGAAGCAGCACAACGAACAAUGACUAAAUGCAAUGGAGGAUCUCAUUUAUUUGAAUCAAACAUAAAAAAAAUUAAUGAAUGGCAGAAUCGAGCUAAAGGUGUUCUUAGACGUUUUAUGACAACCAUAUGUGUAAGAUUUCAAGAUCUUACCUCCAAAUAAUGCAAAGAAUAAUGAAUUGGAAAAAAAUGGUUUACAAUAAUUUCUUUAAAUUAGUUUGACUGGAUAAGUCUCCAUAAAGUUACCUACUAUAUCAAACACAAUAUACAAAUUAUGAUUAUCUACAAAAAUAUGAUAUUAAAUAAUUAUAAUUUAAGCGCCAUUCAAACUAUUUUAGCAAUAAAAGAUUAAUAAGUGUUAAUGUUUCUUUACUAUUAAUACUGUGAACUUAGUGUUUAAGUAUAUAAUGUUGGUGCAACAUGUAUUUAUUAUUAUUUAUUUUAAUAUUUAAGUUAUAUUUGUUAAAAAAAAAAAAUCAUAUUGCGCACACAAAUAAUUAUUAUUUUGGAAAGUGUAUUUAAUAAAAAAACCUAUUCAUAUUAAAGGAAAAUUUAUUUCCAAAUGUUCAGAUUAAAAGUUAAUUUAUCUUGUUUAUAAUGAAAAAUAAUGUAUUAAUGCGUAUAAAAUUAUGUUACAGUUAAAGUAUGAAUGCCUAUUGGUUAAAAGUUAAGCUAAUCAUAUCACUUAUCAUUUGUAUAUUGGACUAUUUACAUAAUAAUACAAUUUCAGUUAACUUCAGUCCUAAGUAGGUUAUAUAAAUUAGUUAUUCAAAUUCAAAUAUGUUAAAAAUAUUUUUUGUUUUAACCAAAUCUACUCCAUGUUUGAGACAAUUAAACAACGAGAAAUCAAUUAAACUAAUAUUCAUAUUUUUUCCAUAACAAUGUGUCAUAUAGGUACGCAUUAUAUAAUACCAUGGGGCCAUAUAUUGUGUUGUGAUUAAAAUUGUAUUAUUAAACUGAUUGCAUAGUAAUUAACUCUGGUAUUAAAAACAAUAAAUAUGUAAACCUUGACUUUUACUUAAAAAUUAAUUAAAUCUUAAUCUAUGGUUUUUGAACAUAUUAUAAUAAUUAACAUUGUAAGUGAAUAUAAUUACAUUGAGCCUAAAAGACAAAAUUUUCUGUUUAAUAUUAUAUUUAUUAAGUGCUAAAACACAUUCUGUAUUAUUCUUUAUGAAUUAUGUAACUUAAAGUUACCUUAUCCCAAAACCCUUAACUUAAGUCAAUUAUGUUUAUUUUUAUUAUUUUACUUUGACAAUCAAAAUUAAUGUAUUAAUAUCAUAUUACUUGAAAUAUAUUAUUUCUAUGUCAAUGCGUACUGUAUUUUUAAUUUAGUUUUUUUUUGUUAAUUUGUUUGUUACGGCUUAAUCUAAAAUAUUACAAAAUUAAUUGUUAAUAAAUAAAAAUUGUGUCAUGGUAUCAUUAAUCAUAUAAAGUUAUUCUCAAGGAUUAAAGUAUGAGUAGUGUAAUAAUAGAAUAUAGAGUUCCAAUUGUAGAGCAUUUAUUAGUAAUGUUAAUAAGAGAAUAAAAAAUAGAAUUUCUAGAGUAUAAUUAUAUUUAUUAUUCUUUAGCUUUUUCACUUAGAAUUAAUGUUGUCAUUCCAUGUCAAAUGUGUUAUUUUAUUGUAAUGGUGUUUGUACCUUAAUAUUACUUUAAUAGUAUCAUUAGUUGAAUACCAUAUCAACCAUUUAUAAUAAUAAUUAUAUUGUAUUAAAAAUAUGGUUUAGUUUUAUUGUUAAUACAUUUUUGUAGUAUAGUUAGUAGACAUAAUAAAUAUCGAUUAAAAGUA
Molecule: long non-coding RNA, 2158 nt
Organism: Aphis gossypii (cotton aphid)
Lineage: Eukaryota; Metazoa; Arthropoda; Insecta; Hemiptera; Aphididae
Exons: 3
Source: RefSeq, a predicted model, not a curated record